AAAUUGGUGCACACUGAAUAACGCGCGUAGCGGGUUAUUUAACGGUGUGCACCACAUUUUUUAUGUUAUUUCGAAUAGACAGAAAAAUAUUACAGUAAUUUCUUAUAAUUUAAUUCUAAAUUCCAUUUUAAACCGUAGAAAACCAUGAAAAAACGUUGAUGACGUCACGGCCACAUGACUAAAUUAUGUCUAAAGGCUGAUAACAAAAUAACGUCAGCAAUUCAGAA
Molecule: long non-coding RNA, 227 nt
Filed under: Mytilus galloprovincialis (Mediterranean mussel)
Lineage: Eukaryota; Metazoa; Mollusca; Bivalvia; Mytilida; Mytilidae
Source: RNAcentral